This 433-nucleotide ribosomal RNA is filed under the name uncultured bacterium. RNAcentral's name for it is "partial 16S ribosomal RNA". It matches the Rfam family "Bacterial small subunit ribosomal RNA", at positions 29 to 507 of the family's 1533-position model. The record is from RNAcentral.
AACGAACGCUGGCGGCAUGCCUAACACAUGCAAGUCGAACGAGAUCUUCGGGUCUAGUGGCGCACGGGUGCGUAACGCGUGGGAACCUGCCCUUAGGUUCGGAAUAACUCCCCGAAAGGGGUGCUAAUACCGGAUAAUGUCUUCGGACCAAAGAUUUAUCGCCUUUGGAUGGGCCCGCGUUGGAUUAGCUAGUUGGUAGGGUAAAAGCCUACCAAGGCGACGAUCCAUAGCUGGUCUGAGAGGAGGAUCAGCCACACUGGGACUGAGACACGGCCCAGACUCCUACGGGAGGAAGCGGUGGGGAAUAUUGGACAAUGGGCGAAAGGCUGAUCCAGCAAGGCCGCGUGAGUGAUGAAGGCCUUAGGGUUGUAAAGCGCUUUUAACCGGGAUGAUAAUGACAGUACCGGGAGAAUAAGCUCCGGCUAACUCCGUG